UACGUAGGGCGCAAGCGUUGUCCGGAAUUAUUGGGCGUAAAGAGCUCGUAGGUGGUCUGUUGCGUCCGCUGUGAAAACUCGGGGCUUAACCCCGAGCCUGCAGUGGAUACGGGCAGACUAGAGGUAGGUAGGGGAGAAUGGAAUUCCUGGUGUAGCGGUGAAAUGCGCAGAUAUCAGGAGGAACACCGGUGGCGAAGGCGGUUCUCUGGGCCUUACCUGACACUGAGGAGCGAAAGCGUGGGGAGCGAACAGG
This 253-nucleotide ribosomal RNA is filed under the name uncultured bacterium. RNAcentral's name for it is "partial 16S ribosomal RNA". It matches the Rfam family "Bacterial small subunit ribosomal RNA", at positions 524 to 776 of the family's 1533-position model. The record is from RNAcentral.